Molecule: ribosomal RNA, 320 nt
Filed under: uncultured eukaryote
Lineage: Eukaryota
Description: partial 18S ribosomal RNA
Rfam family: Eukaryotic small subunit ribosomal RNA
Source: RNAcentral
CCCCUAGAUGUUCUGGGCCGCACGCGCGCUACACUGAACAGUUCAACAAGUCUUAACCUUGGCCGAUAGGUCUGGGGAAUCUUUGAACGCUGUUCGUGAUUGGGAUAGACCUUUGCAAUUAUGGGUCUUCAACGAGGAAUUCCUAGUAAACGCAAGUCAUCAGCUUGCAUUGAUUACGUCCCUGCCCUUUGUACACACCGCCCGUCGCACCUACCGAUUGAAUGGUCCGGUGAAAUCUCGGGACGGCGGCUUGGUCGCUUGCGUCCGACUGCUGAAACUUGAUUAAACCAUAUCAUUUAGAGGAAGGUGAAGUCGUAACA